AGAUUGAACGCUGGCGGAAUGCUUUACACAUGCAAGUCGAGCGGCAGCGCGGGGCAACCUGGCGGCGAGCGGCGAACGGGUGAGUAAUGCAUCGGAACGUGUCCAUGUCGUGGGGGAUAGCCCGGCGAAAGCCGGAUUAAUACCGCAUACGCCCGAGAGGGGGAAAGUGGGGGACCGCAAGGCCUCACGCGAUUGGAUCGGCCGAUGUCCGAUUAGCUAGUUGGCGGGGUAAAGCCCACCAAGGCGAUGAUCGGUAGCUGGUCUGAGAGGAUGAUCAGCCACACUGGGACUGAGACACGGCCCAGACUCCGACGGAGGGUCAGCAGUGGGUAAGUUUGGACAAGUCGGGGACAACCCGUGAUCCAGCCAUUCCGCGUGAGGUAGAAGAACGGUCCGUUCGGGUAGUAAGUCUUCGUUUGUACCGGAACGUAAACGGGUA
RNAcentral lists this ribosomal RNA (439 nucleotides) under uncultured soil bacterium. RNAcentral's name for it is "bacterial SSU rRNA". It matches the Rfam family "Bacterial small subunit ribosomal RNA", at positions 26 to 458 of the family's 1533-position model. The record is from RNAcentral.